This 1205-nucleotide long non-coding RNA is filed under the name Equus caballus (horse). RNAcentral's name for it is "lncRNA (ENSECAG00000055252.1)". The record is from RNAcentral. Lineage: Eukaryota; Metazoa; Chordata; Mammalia; Perissodactyla; Equidae.
ACUUACAGUCAGACGUUUUGUAAAUGUCGGAGCUGGACCACGAGAGAGUCCUGGACUGAUGGCUCCAGCACACGAUCACUUAGCCACAGGCUGGAGUUGUUAUGCGCAGCACCUUGGCUUGCUUUCCCUAAGCACACCUCAAAUUGAAAGGGAGGUAAAGCCUCAUCAGUGAAACAGGCAAAUGCUGGGGUAGUGAGUCAUCUCCAGCUCUGAGAAGGGGAAAUGCCUAGAGCAAGGGCUACAGCCUUAACAGCCCCACCAGUUCCCAGUUCCAAUAUUGUUUCCUGGAAUGAACUUUUACAACCAGGAAGAAGCUAUUUAAAACCUUCAUUACGAUACUUUAGCAUCUCACCAUGAAGGAUAUUUAAAAGCAAAAUGACCUGAAGCAGGUGUGAGUAAUCUGUGGAUAGAACAGAGCUCUGCUCCAGGCGCAAGCACUGCUGUAGGUAAAGUGCUGAAGAAGAGGAAGACUACAGGCUAUUUAUCCAUGGCGGCAGCACAGCUUGGGGCAAGGCAGAGCUAAGACGACCCCUCUGUCUUUGUGAAGAUGCCAGAGGAAACCACCAAAGCCCCCCGGUACAUAGUUGUAUAUUCUUCGUUGUGGGUCCUUCUAGUUGUGGCAUGUGGGACACCGCCUCAGCGUGGUUUGAUGAGCAGCGCCAUGUCCGCACCCAGGAUUCAAACCAACGAAACACUGGGCUGCCUGCAGCGGAGCACCCGAACUUAACCACUCGGCCACGGGGCCAGCCCCAACAGUAGUAUUUUUGAUGGUAUUGCUACGUGAAGACUCUCUCCUUUGCUGGUUUUGAUGAAGCAUGCAGCCAUUUAUGAGAGGCCAAGAAACCAAGGGCAGCCUCCAGCCAAGAACCAGCUGAGGGUGGCCCCUAGCUGACAAUCAGCAAGACGUUGAGGCCACCCGCCCUACAACACCAAGGAACUGAAUUCUACUAACAACUGCACGAAUUUGAAAGUGGGUUGUUCCCCAGUUGAACCUUGAGAUGAGACCAUCAGGCCAACCAACAAUCUCAUUGAAGUCACAUGAAAUCUGGAAGCAGAAGAUCUGACUAAACUGUGCCCACACACCUAACCACAGAAACUGUGUAUUAAUAAAUGUGUGUUGUUUUAAACCAACGUCUUUGUGGCAAUAUUGCUACCCAACAAUAAAUAACUAAUAAACAGUCCAAGAAUCAACUCACGAAUUUCUU